GCUGUGUGCUGCUGCCCGUGUUAACGUGGAGCAGGGAUCUGCAUCUCUUCCCUGAGGAAGCGUUCCUGCUUCGUUUCCCUUUUGGGGUGCUGGCUCUGGCCAGCAGAAACUCGGGGAGGCCCCAGACAUGGUGCCAGCGCCACACCGGCCUGGGGGACCCUUGUUGAACCACCGGACAUACACUGGACAUCUCUGCUUUGCAGAGCGAGGUGCUGGUCAGCCAGCUGGAACGGCAAUCCUGUGUGCUUUGCGGGGUUGUGGUGAGGACUGAAUGGGAGCCUGCAGACCACGUUAAGCAGAGGACUUGGCACGGAGCAAACGCUCAUUAAAUGGCACACAGUGAGAGAGAGAGAGGCAGAGACAUAGGCAGAGGGAGAAGCAGGCUCCAUGCACCGGGAGCCCGACGUGGGAUUCGAUCCCGGGUCUCCAGGAUCGUGCCCUGGGCCAAAGGCAGGCGCUAAACCGCUGCGCCACCCAGGGAUCCCUGUUUGGCGGCAUCCUUGACCUCUGUCCUCCGUGUACCAGUAGCACGCUCCAGUUGUGACAACUGAAAAUGUGUCCAGAUGCUGCAAAAUGUCCCCUGAAGGGCAGCAUCACUCCUUGUUGAGAAUCACUGAUUUGCCACGUUCUGGGCAUGGCAUGUCCCUUGUCCCUCGGUCAGGUUAUAAAUACCUUCGGGGAGGAUUUCCAUUAUCUCUACGAUGCCUGGAUACCGACGAUAGAGUAAAUGUCUAAUAAAUGUGUUUACUCGAGCCACUCAGCUCAUUUUCCUGGUUGUACCACCUUCAGCUGAGGCUGGGGAAGAAGGAAACUCUGAGGCCAUUAUUCAUCAUUGUCAGUUAGCAUGUUUUAAAUAAAUACUCAGAAUUCCUGGA
Molecule: long non-coding RNA, 875 nt
Organism: Nyctereutes procyonoides (raccoon dog)
Lineage: Eukaryota; Metazoa; Chordata; Mammalia; Carnivora; Canidae
Exons: 3
Source: RefSeq, a predicted model, not a curated record